This 692-nucleotide ribosomal RNA is filed under the name uncultured bacterium. RNAcentral's name for it is "bacterial SSU rRNA". It matches the Rfam family "Bacterial small subunit ribosomal RNA", at positions 790 to 1482 of the family's 1533-position model. The record is from RNAcentral.
GUAGUCCACGCCGUAAACGAUGUCGACUUGGAGGUUGUUCCCUUGAGGAGUGGCUUCCGGAGCUAACGCGUUAAGUCGACCGCCUGGGGAGUACGGCCGCAAGGUUAAAACUCAAAUGAAUUGACGGGGGCCCGCACAAGCGGUGGAGCAUGUGGUUUAAUUCGAUGCAACGCGAAGAACCUUACCUACUCUUGACAUCCAGAGAACUUAGCAGAGAUGCUUUGGUGCCUUCGGGAACUCUGAGACAGGUGCUGCAUGGCUGUCGUCAGCUCGUGUUGUGAAAUGUUGGGUUAAGUCCCGCAACGAGCGCAACCCUUAUCCUUUGUUGCCAGCGGUCCGGCCGGGAACUCAAAGGAGACUGCCAGUGAUAAACUGGAGGAAGGUGGGGAUGACGUCAAGUCAUCAUGGCCCUUACGAGUAGGGCUACACACGUGCUACAAUGGCGCAUACAAAGAGAAGCGACCUCGCGAGAGCAAGCGGACCUCAUAAAGUGCGUCGUAGUCCGGAUUGGAGUCUGCAACUCGACUCCAUGAAGUCGGAAUCGCUAGUAAUCGUAGAUCAGAAUGCUACGGUGAAUACGUUCCCGGGCCUUGUACACACCGCCCGUCACACCAUGGGAGUGGGUUGCAAAAGAAGUAGGUAGCUUAACCUUCGGGAGGGCGCUUACCACUUUGUGAUUCAUGACUGGGGUG